UUUUUUAUCAAAAAGAGCUUUGAAAAGGAUUUUAAAAAAGAUUUUAUGCAUAAAUUUUUUAAUACAAGUGAGAAUUGAUCCUAGACUAGCGGAACAUAUUGCACUCUAAAACUAUCUAAGGAAUAUAGGAGAUCACUCAAAACCUAAGAUAAUCUAGAGACAAAGAAAGAACUACAAUACCAUUAUCCUUCCUUGUUGUUCCCUUUUAUAAUUUCCCAUGCAAGUUGGCCUUCUCCUUAUUCAUUUUGAAUGAACAUAUUCCUAUUUUUGUGUUUGAUUGUUUCAUUUGGACAUAUAGUUUACCUCAUUGUACUAGGAACUACUUUAACAAAAAAUGUAGAAACACUUAUUUAAGAUUUUAUUAAUAUUUUUUGCACUACACUCUUUUGGUUAUCAUAAAGUAUUAUCUUACUUGUUUUUCCUCAUAAGAUUCUUAACAAGGAAGUUGCUUGUAUGUGUUCCUUCCCAAGACUUAAGUCUAGUCAUCUAAACAUAUUUAUUCCCUAUUGAAUAUUUUAAUUAUAUUUUACUUUCGGUUGUUUCUUUAAGUGGUAAGUGGUAGGGUUGCCAACAAAUUUUGAAUUCCUCAAUUCCAUCAUUUUCAUCUCAUUCAUUUUUACAACAAAAAUUAUGUACAUUUUUAACUUCAAUUCUCAAGCCUGGAUUUUUUUUAUUUAUGUCUAUACAAUGACAAUUCUAUAUUCCAUAACUAGUUAAUUCUCGUUCUCUUUUUUAUCAAGAGCACACAACAUUUUUCUCAACUCGUGUAAUUUUCACGUUUAAUUUAUAUUAACUUUGAUAUAGAAAGAUAUAAAAAAUAACUCUAUAUUAUUUUAGUUUGUAAAAAAAAGGGUGUUGUUACCCCUUGGAUCUGUUAUUAAGGCACCUUUUUUCUUUAGAUUCAUUAUUGUUGUUUCUCUUUUUGGAUUUCCUCCUAUAUAUCACAAGAUGCUAAAAUAUAAAUAAUUAAUAUAUAUAUAAUAUAUUUUAAUAAAGAAAAUAAUGAACAAAUUACAUUAUUAUAAUUGACUUUUGCAACUCCUAAGUUCUAAAAAGCAUUUAAUUAAAAUUAAAAGAGCUUGAAGUUUUACUUAUUUAGAGAUCAAAAAUACUUUUACAUUACAAUUAAAGGAGUUAAAACAUGGCUCAAAUACUCAUGUUCGUUAGUGUUUUGAUCAUCUUUCUUUCUCUUUUUUUGGCUGAUACCAAACAAAGUAAGUUUUAUUCACACCAUUUUUAAAUUUUCUAGUUUAUAUUAUACACACUAUUUUAUCAUCUUCUAGUAAUAUUUUAUUUUGUGUUUUGACAAUGCAGCUAAUAUUCCUUGUGAGAAUAAACGUGAUUGUCCACAACCGUUAUAUCCUAAAUUUGUGACGUGCUUUGAAGGUUUAUGUCGGAUGCAUUAUCCACUAAAAAAAAUUUAAAAUAAUUAUCUUUCCUUAAAUCAUUGAAUAAUAUUUGUAUUCUACCAAAAAUAAUAAUAAUAUAUGUACCUUUAUUGUGGACUAUUAAAUUUGAAAAUAAUUAUGUUUCCUAAAUUCAUAUAAUAAUGUUUGUGUUAUGUUUCUAAGGCCUAGAUGGCCCUUCAUACAGUUCAGAACAGUUGUUCCCCAAGCUAUAGGUUGAGGAAAUCGGACUCUAGCUUGAUAGAAGCUUUCACAGAUCCAACAUUUAACUAGAAGCACGUUCUUUGAGCUUGAACAUUAGUGUCUCCCAAAAUAAUAUGAGUAUUUUUGAGGUGGAAAUACUUAGUGUAAGUAAACACAGUCUAGGUUAUAUUAUAAAAAGAUAUUGAUAUCAUAGGGACUGUAAAUCUAUAGCUUCAUGUAGCUUUUCAGCAUAAAACUUGUUUGUAAGAAAAUAAAAUAAAUCAUUUGUCCCAACAAUAAAUCUAAAAAGUUAAGUUGGGAAAACAGUUUAAAAGAUUUAGAAAUUCUCAAGAUGGAAAGUGUGGUUUAAACUAAGUUCAGUUAUGAUAAAACAUUACUGCGAUUUACAAAGUUAUAGCUUGGUACAACUCCUGUGACUCAGCGCUAUAGCCAGUUCAAAUAAUAUUUGGCAACCGAGAUUCAUAUGGCUAUAUAUCUCUCCAUCUUCCUUGCAACCCAAUUGGUCUUAGGGAGUGUUACCUCAUCCAUCGUGUUAAGGUCGUAACGACACAUUGUUCAGAAUACAAAGAGUCCGAACUUUUGGGGUAAGAUUAUGAAGAGUUUAGGGUCACAAGCCGUUGUUUCCUAUGACAAGAGUCCUACCAAGAACUUACCGCUUAGCUAUAGCUUUGAGGCUCUACUAAGUUCAUAUCUAAGAAAGAGUCUUUUAGGGUUUCGUAUCUUUGUUAAGCCUUGUGCUUUAUUGUAUACCUCUCUGGUUGUUACAAUUGAUUAUACAAAGCACAUAGUUGGUUUGUUGUAGUUGAGUUGUAUUGGAUCAAAACCAUCGUUUGAUAAAAGACAUUUAUUAGGGUUUUUGAGUCCUUGAUGUGAGCCGUUGUUGUAUCACGUUGAGGCAUAGAGUUGGACUGUAGUUAAGUUGUAAGCACGAGUUGAUUCUUAGAAUUGGAGAGUGUCUCCAUUACCGUUGUUACUUUUAAGACGAUCACUAGAAUUGUGAUUGAGAGGAAGUGAGAUGGGGAUCUCUCAUAUCUAGGACUAUGAGAGUCUUAGGUAGAAAUUACACGGAUAGUGAUUCAAUAAGAAGGCAGUGAAUUGGGAUUGUUCACGUGUGAAUCAGAGAUUGUUCACUUGAAACAUCAAAUUUCACAGUACAACAUUUGGCAAGAUGCAGGUACUAAAUGCUAUGCCGUGGAGGAAGUCGAUCCUUAUAGUUCCCAUGAAGACAUAGAACGACCACGUGCAGAUCAAGAAAAGAAAGUUGCAAAUAACACCAGAAAAGAGGAUGUCAGGGAAGGAGCUAUUGGGGGCUCUUGGAAGAAGACUAUUUAUGAAGACUUUGAUGUAUAGACCCCACACGUAAGGAUCACCGCAUGAUGAGCAGGUGCAACUUGACGACCGAUUAGGUUAGUAACAUCCCAACGACCUCAUCACUUAUAUAGUCUACCUAAGAUAAAUAAACACGACAUUACUUUUAUUUAAUAUCCAAAAAAUAAAUAGGGGGGAUUGAAAUAUUCCUAACCGCCACUUACUUUUAUGCAACGAAAACAGGUAACUUGCUCAGUUGCAAAUAGAUAAAAAUUGCAAAUCUCUAAUCCUUUAACUCUUAUUAUUUUAUCGUCAACUAAAAAAAAGUAACACGAAUUGUUUGGACGAAAAGAUAAUCCAUGUGGAUACGAUACUCUACUUAUCACUUUAUUACUUGGUAAACGAUUUGGUGCACUUGCCUAAUCCGCACAUCAGUAAACGCAAGACUUGCCUUUCAGAGCUGCAGCUCUCUGCAGCUUGUAGGUCGUUGCAGAUUUGAGGUUUUUGUAGGAUCUGGUCUUUUUUUUUUAAUUUUUUUUGGGGCUGGAGUGUCUUCCUCCUUCAGGUUAGAAGUUGGAGAUUAUAACUUGUACUUUUUUUAGGGGAUUGUAACUUGUACUUAGAAGGCUGCAUCCUUGAUUUAUUAAGUUACAACCUCUCUUUUUCUUUGUCUUAGGAAGUUGCAACUUUGGAUUUGAGGUUAUAGCAACGACAUCUGAGGCUACAACUUCUUCUAUUUGAUGGUUUAACUUCCUAUUUCUUUCCUCAAUUACUAGACAAUUCAUGGACGACUUAUCUUGAAGCACAAUUCUUUCUUUGUUGUUCUUCCUUCUCAAUAGACACGGUCAGAAUACCCUUUCCCUUGUGAUGAACAACUCGUUUCUUUGAAGUUGUAGCUUCCAGAGUGGAUGGUACAUCUUUUUUGCGACUUAAGUGUUGGAGUUGUUAUAGGACCAACAAGUUUCAGAGUGUAUGUUCUGAAAACACAGGAAUCGUUUCCUUAUAGUAGAUUUUCGAGUUAGAAACUAGAUGCUUCGAUGUUUCCCCAGAGUUCUUCAAUAUCCUUCUUGAACAUAUCCAACUCUAUUUAUUCAGGCGGAGGGCUAUAUCUCCCUGCAUAUUUGAUUAUGCCUCCAAAAAAGUAAUUCGGGACUAUAGGAAAUAAAACUUGGAAAUCCCACUUCAAAACCCAUUUCUCCAAUGAUAUUUCCUCUUCUUCUUCAUUUACGUCCAUAAAACCUUUUAUUCAUUAUUGAUCUUCUCAAAUGCAUGCUAGGUGAUAAAGUGAUAUAUUGGCAAAUUUGUGUUGAUGCCCCAACAUCUACCCUUUUCAGUUCAAGCUCUCUUCAAUGACACUAGGGCAGCGAGUUAAAUAAUUUAUCUUUUCAACACCAUUUUUGCACGCUUAUGGGUUUUGGGUGUGGAAGGUUAAAAUGAUGGUGAAAUUAAAAUAUAAUAUGUGGAGGAAUGGUGUAUAUUUGUGAAGGGUGAAAAUCCCAUUUUUGACCUCAUUCAUCCCAAAAUCGUUGUAUGAACAUUACCCAUAGUUAAUACAAAUUAAAUGAGCAUUUAUAACACAUAAAAACACUGAUUCCACCUUUAAUUUCAUGAUUCUUCACCCAAUUUUUCAAAACUCAACGACAUCACAUAAUCACUUUUAAACUAGGAACUUAUCAGUUACAAUUCAUACAAACAACACCCACACAUUCCCAAUCAUUUAUCAAGAACAUACAUCAUGAACUUAACAAUUUUCAACAACAACAUCAUGAUUUUCAUCCAAUUAAGGUAAAACUCAUAAUUAUCAACUUAUCAUAAUCAAACAUUUAAUUUCAUGCAACAACAACAAGUUUCUACCACUUUUCAUAUACCCAAAAUUAACAACUUAAUUAGAGCACGAAAAUUAGUUUAAAACAACAUCAAUUUCAUAAUUUCACAAAGACAAACUUGACCCAAAUAUCAUAUAAGUGGUUAUAAUUCAAUAUGUGAACAUAAUCUCUCUAUCCUUACCUUUAAAUCCCAAAAGUUUGGCUAUAAGCUCCAAUCUACUUUCCCUUUUGAGGUUCUCCAUGCUAGAUCUUCUUGUCCCUUAAAACUCUUCUUUCUUCCUCUUUUUCUCAAUUUUCUAUCGUCUCCCACUUGCCUCUUUUCUCUCAAUUGUGACAAAUGAGUUAUUGACCUAAUUUUUAUAAAGACCACUUCAAUUAUAUACUUAUGGGCUUAGUCAUACUCACUAUUGGGCUUAGUAACUUUCUAUCACUCAUAAAAUAUUACUACACAAUUGCUUCUUUUAAAUCCCCACUAUUACUCAUGCACCAUUAUUAUAUUAAUUACCCUAAUUUACUACUAACAGUGCUAAAUGAUCUUACACUCCCAAAUAUUUGAAAUACCGAACAUUCUAAAAUUACCAAAAUGCUCUUACUCUUCAAAUGACCAAAAUACCCUUAUUGCCUAAAAAAAUCCACUAAUCCCUAAAUCAAGCACAUCAAAUAAGCAAUUAAAUAAAUACAAUAAAGAAAUAAAUAAUCCUAGCGAAAAUUGGGGUGUUACACCAUCUGCUCAUAACUUGUCCCACUCAGAUUUUUCUCUGGGAUUUGAAAUAUGAGGCCACUUACUCCUUUUCUGCAACAUUUAUCACCUGACCAGAGUCUGUUGUUCGAAGGUACAUCUUCCGAACGAGAGCUGAAUCUUUUUGUAUUUUCAAUCCUGCAAUUGAAAAACACACUAAAGUAGACACAAAUGUUAAAAAAAUUAAAAAUAGAAGUGUGAACACUCCAUUUAUUGAGUGUUGCAUCCGUUAAGCGCUUCUUUAUUAUCAUUAGCUUAACAAAUCAACACCCAAGCUAGGGUGGAUAAUAUGACAAGAAGAAUAUAUCCUCCUUCCUCUUCUUUCCAUUAGGUAGAAAUCCCAUAUACUUAAGAUAUGGUAGCAAGUGUUCCCAUUCCCCCAGAACAGGACCAUUGGAACAUGAUUUCUCCAUAUCUUGAAGUGUUAAAAAUUCAGCUUAAGGAGGAUAUUUUUCUUGAAACACCUAGGGUUAAGUCUUAACAACUACAUGAAUUGUUUUAUCCUCUUCCCUUGGGGUUUCAGCAACACUAUCUACUUCUACUCCUACUCCUAAGACUACAAUAUUUUUUUCUUCCGCUCUUUCAUCAAGGCAUUGUUUAGUUUCUAACUCCUUAUUAUGUUGUUCAACCGCUUUUUCCAUAUAGUUCUCAUCUCAUUUUAGAUGAUAUGCAUUGAGAUGAGACUCUAUGUUUUGGCUUGAGACAUGAUAUGCCUCAAUACUUUUAUUGAUAGAAUUGCUUGACUAUUCAGAUUGGAUCAAGAAACUGUUUAGCAUAAGAGCCAAGUUUUCUACCAACUCCAUACUCUCUUCCUCUUGUUCAACUAGUUCCUCCAUAUGGUUCUUUUGGUUUAGAUUUUCAAAUUAUAACCAAUGAUGAAAUCUAGCUUAGCUGCAUGCCUAUCCAAAUAAUCAUUGACUUCAGCAAAAAGGAGUUCAAGUGUAUGGUUUUUUCCAAAAAAAAAAAAAAAUUUCCCAUGCCAUAGCCAACAUUUGGUGUUUUUGUGGACAUGAAAUUUAUUCAAUUGUAGUCACUUAUAUGCUCAGCCCCUUCAUAUUCAAGAAUUUGUGGUUGAACCUCAUCUUCUUCAAAAAAGCUAAAAGGCCAAUAACUCAUAGUUGGCGUGGAAUUUUUUUUUUCCACUUAAACGACUAACUAAAAACAGAAAAUAAAAAUCAAUAAAAACAAAACACAAAACAGAACAAAAUUUGACCAAAAAAGAUCUUGACUAAAAUAAACUGACAAAUAUGAAAAUGACUUAGAAUAAACCACAUAACAAUCCCCGAAUUUUUAUCAAAAAGAGCUUUGAAAUGGAUUUUAAAAAAGAUUUUAUGCAUAAAAAAUGUUAAUACAAGUGAGAAUUGAUCCUAGACUAGCGGAACAUAAUGCACUCUAAAACUAUCUAAGGAAUAUAGGACAUCAUUCAAAACCUAAGAUAAUCUAGAGACAAAGAAAGAACUACAAUACCAUUAUUCUUCCUUGUUGUUCCCUUUUAUAAUUUCCCAUGCAAGUUGGCCUUCUCCUUAUUCAUUUUGAAUGACCAUAUUCCAAUUUUUGUUUUUAAUUGUUUCAUUUGGACAUAUAGUUUACCUCAUUGUACUAGGAACUACUUUAAGAAAAAAUGUAGAAACACAUAUUUGGUUUUCGUCAUAAGAUUCUUAACGAGGAAGUUGCUUGUAUGUGUUCCUUCAAGAGACUUAAGUCUAGUCAUCUAAACAUGUGUAUUCCCUAUUGAAUAUUUUAAUUAUAAUUUACUUUCAGUUGUUUCCUUAAGUGGUAAGUGGUAGGGAUGCCAACAAAUUUUGAAUUCCUCAAUUCCAUCAUUUUCACCUCAUUGAUUUUUACAACAAAAAUUAUGUAUAUUUUUAACUUCAAUUCUCAAGCCUGGAUUUUUUUUAUUUAUAUCUAUACAAUGACAAUUCUAUAUUCCAUAACUAGUUAAUUCCCGUUCUCUUUUUUAUUAAGAGAACACAACAUUUUUCUCAACUCGUUUAAUUUCCACAUUUAAUUUGUAUUAUCUUUGCUGGAGUGGAUUCUACUAAUAUUUCCGAUCAUUUGUUGCAGUUUACGUAUAUGACUGGUGUUGAUAAAGCUAAACGUUCGUUGUAACGCCCUAAUUUAUUAUUUAUUUAUUUUAUUGAGUUUAGAUGUCUUUUUAUAAUUUAGUCGAUUUAUUUUGAUGAGUGAUAUUUUGUUAUGUUAUANUUUGAUUGUUUCAUUUGGACAUAUAGUUUACCUCAUUGUACUAGGAACUACUUUAACAAAAAAUGUAGAAACACUUAUUUAAGAUUUUAUUAAUAUUUUUUGCACUACACUCUUUUGGUUAUCAUAAAGUAUUAUCUUACUUGAUUUUCCUCAUAAGAUUCUUAACAAGGAAGUUGCUUGUAUGUGUUCCUUCCCAAGACUUAAGUCUAGUCAUCUAAACAUAUUUAUUCCCUAUUGAAUAUUUUAAUUAUAUUUUACUUUCAGUUGUUUCUUUAAGUGGUAAGUGGUAGGGUUGCCAACAAAUUUUGAAUUCCUCAAUUCCAUCAUUUUCAUCUCAUUCAUUUUUACAACAAAAAUUAUGUACAUUUUUAACUUCAAUUCUCAAGCCUGAAUUUUUUUUAUUUAUGUCUAUACAAUGACAAUUCUAUAUUCCAUAACUAGUU
RNAcentral lists this long non-coding RNA (8131 nucleotides) under Medicago truncatula (barrel medic). RNAcentral's name for it is "long non-coding RNA (MTRU_LNC004254)". Lineage: Eukaryota; Viridiplantae; Streptophyta; Magnoliopsida; Fabales; Fabaceae. The record is from RNAcentral.